Molecule: small nuclear RNA, 141 nt
Filed under: Erinaceus europaeus (western European hedgehog)
Lineage: Eukaryota; Metazoa; Chordata; Mammalia; Eulipotyphla; Erinaceidae
Description: U4 spliceosomal RNA
Rfam family: U4 spliceosomal RNA
About the family: U4 small nuclear RNA (U4 snRNA) is a component of the major U2-dependent spliceosome.
Source: Rfam by way of RNAcentral
AGCUUUGCGCAGUAGCAGUAUCGUAGCCAAUGAGGUUUAUCCGAGGUGCGAUUAUUGCUAGUUGAAAACUUUUCCCAAUACCCCGCCGUGAUAACUUGAAAUACAGUUGUCAUUGGCAAUUUUUGACAGUCUUUAUGAAGA